This 3423-nucleotide long non-coding RNA is filed under the name Triticum aestivum (bread wheat). RNAcentral describes it as "long non-coding RNA (TAES_LNC007484)". The record is from RNAcentral. Lineage: Eukaryota; Viridiplantae; Streptophyta; Magnoliopsida; Poales; Poaceae.
GCCGGACCUGGGGAUCUCCAUCAAGGUCGACAACGAGUUGUAGUACUGUGUCCAGCCAACAACUCCUUUUGCUUCUCAGGUUCAAUCCGCACUUCCCUUUGUCAGUCUGAAUGCGCCCUUGUUGAUUGCUAUCUGGCAUUGGCAAUGUAUUCCAACUGUUUGAUGGUUUGAGCUUGCCAUAACUUCAAUUCUAUAAAAGAGUUACCCUCAGGAAUUUGUUUAUUAGCCACCAAUACCGCAAAAACUACAGAAGAAUGUUAUUACUGCUAAUGGAUAGAUGCACUGCAGAAAUAUGAAUAGUUUUGGUCAAAAGAAUGCAGACUGCACUUUCUUAUUAGUCUAUCACCCUCACGGUUGCUAAUGAUAUUUGUUUUGCCACCACUUUUUGUGUAACUAGGGGAGGACACUGGUCGUUUGGUUAAAAAAAGGAGUGUGGGAACUCGUCAUCCUUUCUCAAACAUUCUCACUCAGUCAAGUGCCAAGGUAAAAUCAAUGGUCGUCUUUGAUCAGUUCAUACGGAACAAAACUCAUUUAUUUCAAAAACUGCAGGUUCAUGGUGACAAAUGGACAUACUGUUUCAGGCUUAUGACUAAGAAUUAGAAACACAGACUCAAAUUAAUUAGAUGCUCUAAUUAGAAGGUAUGCACUUGGAGGCAUUACCCGCCUUCUUACUUGGAGGCCUUCCUUGCCUUUUUCCCGUGGCAAACCAUGGCGCUUGAAAAAUAACAUUAAACAUGCACGGGUCUCAACUUGUAAGUGAUGUGCCGAAACUGCCACUACCUACAACCGUGCCCUCAGGCUUCCCUCGGACCGUCCUUAUCAAUUGUAGUCUCUGCUCUCCCACGUUAAGUCCCACCUUUUAGAAACAGCUUUUCUCGAUGGUGGCCUCCCCUGGAAGCUCUUGAACCUAUGGUGUGAAGUCGGUUCCCCGUCAGAAGGAAAUGCUUGCGUUAGGUCGUCAGACUGUUAAUUAUAACCAUGUUAUUCUGUCGAGCCUUUCCAUCGAGUUGUCAAAACAAUAUCAAAGUAGAAGAUGUUAAAUAUGAAACCACCAAGUUAUGCACUCUGCUAUUGUGGUUGUGAAGCUCGUACAGUCUGCUUGAUGUUCGCACUAAAUUUCCUUCAGGCAACAAGACGAUGAGUUCAGUGCAAGUCUUCAGGCUGUAGGGCUAAUCAUAGGCAAAGAAGUCUGGACUUCCGUGGGUUUGCAUGAACGAUUUUGAAAUGAAGAAUAGUUGUUAAGUUAUUAUUUUUGCUAGAAGAGUAGCGUCGCAAAAGAGUAUUGCUGGGGAAGUAACUGGAGCACAUGCUACUAUUUUUAUAGGAAAGACCCUAAAUGACCCAACUUUUGCAAUCUACAGAUGUUGCUUAUGAAAUCGGUAGAGCCAUGCAUCUGCAAUUAUCUAUUAGCAACAUCAGGUUUGUGUUUGUAUCUCUUCUGCCAUCAUUUCUUGAUCAUUAUGUUAUUUCUUUUCUCAUCUCGAAUCCUUUUUGUUAUAGCCAUACAUUCUCUUUUGGUUUAAGAAGAUAAUAAUCCAGUUUCACUAAAUGCAUUUUCUAUAGCAGCAUAUUCUCUAAUAAUUCAAUCAUACUACGUACUGGUCUAUAAUUUCAUUUCUUUGGUCAUUAAUCUAGCUUUUCCCUGAGAUUGUUUCUCAUAGUGAACAACUCAUAAAAAUGAUUUGUAGGAAAUAGACAAGAAUGAUAGGGUACAUACUGAUGUUUUCCGUAACUUCCCUGUAUGGUUCAGGAGAAGCGUAUUGCAACAGAAGAUUCCACACUCCUUUUAUUAGGGUGAUAAAAUUAGGGUGAUAAAAUUGGCAACCUAGGUAUACACGCAGGACUUGUAAACUGAAACGGAGGGAGUACCAAAGAUCUCACUUGUGCGUGCUAAUCUUGGGAACUGUAUUCAGGCACCCCUUGGCCCUCUUAUGCGGGUUGUUUUGCAUUUUGCUUUUGUGUUAGAAUAAGUAAUUACUAUGUAAUCAAAACCAUUUUUGGUUCGUAUAUGGGAUUGUCCUGUAUGAUAACUUGAUAAGGCAUGAGAACAUUUUUAAAUGUCAAAAGUAAUCAAUCCGUAGAAGAAUGCAUGCUCCUAAGCCAUGGAAGAAAUUAGCAAACAGACAAAAGUUAAGGGCCUAAGGCAAGAUUGGCACACCCAUGUGUAGACCAUCAUUUGAUUUUAGUACUUUGAAUAGGUUCAUGCCAAAAGAUAAACUUUCAGAUGUACAUGGUAUCACCAUCACCUCUGAUGGCACAAGCGCUCUAUUUGAUGUUCUACAGGAGAGGUUCAAGAUUACAUUCAAGGAGAGAACACAAGCAUGAUGAUACUCAAUAAAGUGAAGCAAUGGGCAGACUUGCAAGAGAGGGAGUAGUCCGGGCCUAUCACACAAUGUAAAUAUGUGAACUGCUCUUUGCAAAAUCGCUACAAAAUUCAUGUUAAUUUCCUGCAAAUGAAUAAGGUAUGAUUUUUUUGUAUGAAUUUCUAUUUUGCGUUGUCUAGGCUUUGCAAGGUGGCCAUGACUAAUAUUAUUGUAAAAAGCACUGUAACUUUUGCCUCGAAUGAAACAAGGUCUUUGGGCGAGACAGUAAGCACCCAAAACAUUUUUUCUUGCUUCUUUCUUGAAUUUCCGGUUAUCCUCUAUUCCCCUGCUUCUUUUUCACUGGUUGUGAAUCAUCCGUUGCUGUCACUAAAUUCAUGUUGGAAUAUCUACAUCGAUUUGACAUAAGCACAUUGAUGAGAGUGCUUGAAGCUGCCACAGUUAAGCUAGAGCUAUUUUAUUUUAUUUUUAUUUUGCGAAGAAGAGCCAUCUCAAUUUAAAGUGUGAGCUGUUUGUGUUUUCAAUACCAGACCUGUUAUCGAUUUUUAUUUUUUUGUAGUGAAGCUAGCUGCUGUUAUGUUGGAAACCGAACUUACUGCAUCUAGAAAAGAAUACUCAUUGUGCCACCAGUUAGUAGCAAUUAAUCGAAUCCCGAUGGUUAGAAGCAGGUUUCACUUUUUAUGCUGAAAACUUCUAUUAUUAUUUUCCUUGAUGAGUUUUGAUUUGUUCCAAUUGCUGAUUGGCUGGCUUGGUUUUAUGAUUUUCCGAGUAUUUUUCUAUUAUGACAUUCUUAUAUUCCUUCUUUUUGCGGGUUAACAUUCUUAUAUUCGUCUUCAUAUACAAUUGGAUAGUUUUGCUUUUCUUCAGGCUGGGGGCUCAUAUCUCUCCCUAAUAAUAAAGCACGGAUAGGGUCUCCGGGUUCACCGUCGUGCACUUUUGUAAAGAAACCCCUGUUGAUUUCGGUAUUGUACGCGCAGUCCUCACAAUAAGUUAACACGAACCGGUACGCCAGAGAAAAGGAAAGAAAAUCAGCCCCCCUCUCCCCGCACGCCCUGCCUCCCAAUCCCAUCUCCAACCCCUGCCACGCCCCUCACCGCGCGCC